CCAGCACCACCGGCUCCGGAAUCACCACCACCAGCCUCCAUCCCCUGCCAGCAUUGGCAGCACCGCCACCAGCACCGCCGGCCUCAGGACCAAGCCCACCACCAGCGUUGACGGAGGCGGGUGUGCGGCUCUAGCGCAGCUGAGCCGUCGACCGCCGGAGCCAAUCCGGCAGUCCG
This is a long non-coding RNA of Amphibalanus amphitrite, 176 nucleotides long. RefSeq lists it as uncharacterized. The record is from RefSeq and is a predicted model, not a curated record. The transcript is spliced from 3 exons. NCBI's taxonomy places the organism in Eukaryota, Metazoa, Arthropoda, Thecostraca, Balanomorpha, Balanidae.